Molecule: ribosomal RNA, 623 nt
Filed under: uncultured bacterium
Lineage: Bacteria
Description: bacterial SSU rRNA
Rfam family: Bacterial small subunit ribosomal RNA
Source: RNAcentral
CCUACGGGAGGCAGCAGUGGGGAAUUUUGGACAAUGGGCGCAAGCCUGAUCCAGCAAUGCCGCGUGAGUGAAGAAGGCCUUCGGGUUGUAAAGCUCUUUUGUCAGGGAAGAAACGGUGGGGGCUAAUAUCCCUUGCUAAUGACGGUACCUGAAGAAUAAGCACCGGCUAACUACGUGCCAGCAGCCGCGGUAAUACGUAGGGUGCAAGCGUUAAUCGGAAUUACUGGGCGUAAAGCGUGCGCAGGCGGUUUUGUAAGUUUGUCGUGAAAUCCCCGGGCUCAACCUGGGAAUGGCGAUGAAGACUGCAAGGCUAGAAUCUGGCAGAGGGGGGUAGAAUUCCACGUGUAGCAGUGAAAUGCGUAGAGAUGUGGAGGAACACCGAUGGCGAAGGCAGCCCCCUGGGUCAAGAUUGACGCUCAUGCACGAAAGCGUGGGGAGCAAACAGGAUUAGAUACCCUGGUAGUCCACGCCCUAAACGAUGUCUACUAGUUGUCGGGUUUUAAUUAACUUGGUAACGCAGCUAACGCGUGAAGUAGACCGCCUGGGGAGUACGGUCGCAAGAUUAAAACUUAAAUGAAUUGACGGCUGAGACGUGCCGACGGACGACGACGAGGGAGGUUAGG